GUGGGGAAUAUUGGGCAAUGGGGGCAACCCUGACCCAGCGACGCCGCGUGAGGGAAGACGGCCUUCGGGUUGUAAACCUCUUUUGUACGGGAAGAAGGAAGUGACGGUACUGUACGAAUAAGUCCCGGCUAACUACGUGCCAGCAGCCGCGGUAAUACGUAGGGGACGAGCGUUGUCCGGAAUUACUGGGCGUAAAGGGCGCGCAGGCUGUGCUGCAAGUCAGCUGUGAAAUGUCUGGGCUUAACCCGGGCAUGCGGUUGAGACUGCAGUGCUGGAGUGCUGUAGAGGCAAGUGGAAUUCCCAGUGUAGCGGUGAAAUGCGUAGAUAUUGGGAAGAACACCGGUGGCGAAGGCGACUUGCUGGGCAGCAACUGACGCUGAGGCGCGAAAGCCAGGGGAGCAAACGGGAUUAGAUACCCGUGUAGUCC
Molecule: ribosomal RNA, 427 nt
Filed under: uncultured bacterium
Lineage: Bacteria
Description: partial 16S ribosomal RNA
Rfam family: Bacterial small subunit ribosomal RNA
Source: RNAcentral